UCCACGCAUGCUGUUUCGUCCGCGUUGCUUCGGGCUUUGAAUACCGUUUCUGCUAUCCAGGGGAGGAUCCAGUAUUUUGCAGAAGGGGGAAGACGCCAGGAGAAAGCAGCCAUCGCCCCGGCGCGAUGUUUCAGCACAACGUCAGGGCUACGUCACGUGCCAUCCGAUUGGCUCUGCCAUCGGGAUUACGACGUCACCAAGUGACGUCAAAUUCCCUCGUUCACUCCCACGCUAUUCGAAGGAUUGGAGAUUUUCUAGAAGGUGCAUGUGCAGGUCGAUGGCCUCUCUACUAGAUCAACUGUGCUCGUCGUUUCACAAGACCACACGUGUUUUUGUUGCAUAACGUGCCACAGCCAAAAAGACGAGAGAUUUAUGGAGUGUAGCAUCUCACUGCACCUUUAGUGGGUAUACGCUCAAAUCGGAACUUUGGGCGGCCUACGAAAGAUGUUGCUCUUCCAUCACUUAUAUUUAGGGUUCCGGGUUUAUUCCUGGUUUUCGGAGUUUUUCGGAGUUUAUUCCUGGGCUUUACCGGAGGAUGCUUUGCGCAGCUUGUUGGUUUUUCAAAAAACGGAGUUUUUCGGAGUGUAUGAUUUACAGCACAGUUAAUAUCCCAAAUUCGGAGAAAACUUGACGACGCACGCACGGUUGUGCAGCGAAAACGCAGUUGUCACAUCUAUCGCUUCAACACUAAAGAGACACAAGCUUAACAAUACAUUUCGUGCGACGCACACUGAGGUGUUCCGCAAUUCCAAAUGCACCCUUUCAGUGUGCAGUGCUCCCUGUUAUGCUGCAGUACUUACAUACGACAACCUCUGCAUCGAGAUCGCGGGACGAUGUGAACCCCUCGAAAUCAGGGUACUCCUUGACGUAGUCGCAGGGCAGCUUUCGCUUGCGUCCCAUCUUGUCGGCAGCACUGCAACUAGUUGCCCUUCCGAAAAGACCACUCCGUAUGACCUUGGUUCGAUGCUUAUUUUAGUGCUUAGGUCACAGGUAGGAAAAGGAAAUUGGGAAACAGACUGGGGGAAAACCCGGGCGGUGAAUCCUCAAGUGGUCGCGAUGACCGCCGAAGAAAGCGCGGUGUCGCGGAAACCAUUACUACAUAUGUUGCGGUGGGGCCGGUAUCCGAGGUCAGAAGAAACCCAGGACACAAAAGGUGGCCAAGAACAAUUGCCCUGCUAUCAGAAGAAAACAAAACAUCUUUUCGGAUAAAUCCGAAAACUCGGAACUUUGAGGGUACUGUUAUGUCAUCUUCGGAGCACAGCGGACGACUGUGACGUUGCAGUCGUAAAUUGCGCCUAGUGCAUGGUUUUCCUGGGCACGUGACCUGUAUGUCAGACAGGAACAGCGAGUCCGCAAAUGACGACACAUCCGGUGCGCGAGCAGCGUCGCCGACUCCCACUUUGCUCUCUCUCACAACAGUGCCAGUUUCAGAAUACUUUUUUUUGGAUAUUAUACGCUCAAUAACAGACAGCAAAAGACGUAGACACGCAGCGCCGAAUGUGCUUGAGUUUUUUUUUCGGUAUCUUUAGUGUUCCCUGUAUCAAAGGCAUUAGAAUUUUUACUGGUGUGGAGAAGGGUUUCAGCAGAAAUAUCAUGUGUCGUCUCACCAUUUCAUUCCGAUUUAUUUAUUUUAAAUUUUUACGUGUUUAGGAAAGAAAAGUCGUUGUCCAGAAACUCUAUAAAUCGACAAAUAAAUACACACUGAAGUUUGA
Molecule: long non-coding RNA, 1712 nt
Organism: Ornithodoros turicata
Lineage: Eukaryota; Metazoa; Arthropoda; Arachnida; Ixodida; Argasidae
Exons: 2
Source: RefSeq, a predicted model, not a curated record